RNAcentral lists this ribosomal RNA (855 nucleotides) under uncultured bacterium. RNAcentral's name for it is "bacterial SSU rRNA". It matches the Rfam family "Bacterial small subunit ribosomal RNA", at positions 62 to 921 of the family's 1533-position model. The record is from RNAcentral.
UCGAGCGAGAAGUAGAAGGUGAGUCUUCGGACAAGUUGACUACUGGAGAGCGGCGGACGGGUGAGUAACGCGUGGGUAACCUACCUCAGACAACGGGAUAACGCAUUGAAAAGUGUGCUAAUACCGUAUAAGACCACACUAUGGCAUCAUAGAGUGGUAAAAACUCCGGUGGUAAGAGAUGGACCCGCGUCUGAUUAGCUAGUAGGUAGUGUAAUGGACUACCUAGGCGACGAUCAGUAGCCGGCCUGAGAGGGUGAACGGCCACAUUGGGACUGAGACACGGCCCAAACUCCUACGGGAGGCAGCAGUGGGGAAUAUUGCACAAUGGGCGAAAGCCUGAUGCAGCAACGCCGCGUGAAGGAAGAAGGUUUUCGGAUCGUAAACUUCUAUCAGCAAGGAAGAUAAUGACGGUACUUGACUAAGAAGCCCCGGCUAACUACGUGCCAGCAGCCGCGGUAAUACGUAGGGGGCAAGCGUUAUCCGGAAUUACUGGGUGUAAAGGGUGCGUAGACGGUAAUGUAAGUCAGGUGUGAAAGCCCGAAGCUCAACUUCGGGAUUGCACUUGAAACUACAUAACUAGAGUACAGGAGAGGAAAGUGGAAUUCCUAGUGUAGCGGUGAAAUGCGUAGAUAUUAGGAGGAACACCAGUGGCGAAGGCGACUUUCUGGACUGUAACUGACGUUGAGGCACGAAAGCGUGGGGAGCGAACAGGAUUAGAUACCCUGGUAGUCCACGCCGUANACGAUGAAUACUAGGUGUCGGCCCNUCAAGGGUCGGUGCCGCAGCUAACGCAUUAAGUAUUCCACCUGGGGAGUACGAUCGCAAGAUUGAAACUCAAAGGAAUUGACGGGGGCC